Molecule: ribosomal RNA, 465 nt
Filed under: Vreelandella stevensii
Lineage: Bacteria; Pseudomonadati; Pseudomonadota; Gammaproteobacteria; Oceanospirillales; Halomonadaceae
Description: partial 16S ribosomal RNA
Rfam family: Bacterial small subunit ribosomal RNA
Source: RNAcentral
CCUACGGGGCGCUGCAGUGGGGAAUAUUGGACAAUGGGCGAAAGCCUGAUCCAGCCAUGCCGCGUGUGUGAAGAAGGCCUUCGGGUUGUAAAGCACUUUCAGUGGGGAAGAAAGCCUUGGGGCUAAUACCCUCGAGGAAGGACAUCACCCACAGAAGAAGCACCGGCUAACUCCGUGCCAGCAGCCGCGGUAAUACGGAGGGUGCGAGCGUUAAUCGGAAUUACUGAGCGUAAAGCGCGCGUAGGCGGUCUGAUAAGCCGGUUGUGAAAGCCCCGGGCUCAACCUGGGAACGGCAUCCGGAACUGUCAGGCUAGAGUGCAGGAGAGGAAGGUAGAAUUCCCGGUGUAGCGGUGAAAUGCGUAGAGAUCGGGAGGAAUACCAGUGGCGAAGGCGGCCUUCUGGACUGACACUGACGCUGAGGUGCGAAAGCGUGGGUAGCAAACAGGAUUAGAUACCCCUGUAGUC